This 484-nucleotide ribosomal RNA is filed under the name uncultured bacterium. Its description in RNAcentral is "partial 16S ribosomal RNA". It matches the Rfam family "Bacterial small subunit ribosomal RNA", at positions 30 to 507 of the family's 1533-position model. The record is from RNAcentral.
AUUGAACGCUGGCGGCAGGCCUAACACAUGCAAGUCGAGCGGAUGAAGGGAGCUUGCUCCUGGAUUCAGCGGCGGACGGGUGAGUAAUGCCUAGGAAUCUGCCUGGUAGUGGGGGAUAACGUCCGGAAACGGGCGCUAAUACCGCAUACGUCCUGAGGGAGAAAGUGGGGGAUCUUCGGACCUCACGCUAUCAGAUGAGCCUAGGUCGGAUUAGCUAGUUGGUGGGGUAAAGGCCUACCAAGGCGACGAUCCGUAACUGGUCUGAGAGGAUGAUCAGUCACACUGGAACUGAGACACGGUCCAGACUCCUACGGGAGGCAGCAGUGGGGAAUAUUGGACAAUGGGCGAAAGCCUGAUCCAGCCAUGCCGCGUGUGUGAAGAAGGUCUUCGGAUUGUAAAGCACUUUAAGUUGGGAGGAAGGGCAGUAAAUUAAUACCUUGCUGUUUUGACGUUACCAAAAGAAUAAGCACCGGCUAACUUCGUG